GCUUGGAGCGGCCACGACUUUGGCUGAACGAAGGGGCCUCGGGACGAACGAUGGUGGCAUGGAACGACCGCAACACGAAGACAGUGGCGUGGGACGAACUGCGAUGACAGUGGCUUCGGACGAACGGUGGGGGUCAGCCCUCGGAAAUGAAGAUUAUUGCUGCUUACUUGUUGGAUGUUUUGCGAGGAAAUGCUUCUCCUUCAACCUGUUUUUAAUUUGUUCAAGUGUUCUUGUGUUGUAUAAAUUUGUGUUGUUUAAAAUCCUUAUUUUGUUGUAGAAUAAUCUGUGUGAGGUUUCUUUUUCUAUUUUUUAUUAUUAUUCUAAUCUAUUUUGGAAUUGAUGAUGAAUUUUACAUUACCGUGAACAAUUUGUGUUGUAAAGAGACAACGCAUUUAUGAUUAAUUUCUCAAAUUAAAAAUGCAUUAAAGAAA
Long non-coding RNA from Humulus lupulus (European hop), 431 nucleotides. RefSeq lists it as uncharacterized. Lineage: Eukaryota; Viridiplantae; Streptophyta; Magnoliopsida; Rosales; Cannabaceae. The record is from RefSeq and is a predicted model, not a curated record. The transcript is spliced from 2 exons.